CUUCAAACUAUAUUGUCAAGAAGUAAAGGUUUAUGUUCAAGUGGAAAAGUAAUCGUGGUCUUAUUUUUUUUCACUAGAUUGUCAACGUUCAUAGGUUUUCUUGACAUACAUUCAUAUACAUAAGGCUGCUUAUUAAUGGUUCAUACUUUUCUUCUUUGCUAUUCAGUCUGCUUUCUAUUUUUGCAUCCACACACACACAUUCUGAAUCAGCAAACAAUGGGGAAAAAAAAAAAAAAAAAAAAAAAA
RNAcentral lists this unclassified non-coding RNA (246 nucleotides) under Hevea brasiliensis (rubber tree). The record is from RNAcentral. Lineage: Eukaryota; Viridiplantae; Streptophyta; Magnoliopsida; Malpighiales; Euphorbiaceae.